RNAcentral lists this small nucleolar RNA (83 nucleotides) under Hucho hucho (huchen). Lineage: Eukaryota; Metazoa; Chordata; Actinopteri; Salmoniformes; Salmonidae. The record is from RNAcentral.
UUGCACUGUUCGUAACCUGGCUCAGUCCUCCAGUGUGAGCUUUGGGUUCCAUUCCAGUGCCACAGUAAAUCCCAGAGAUUGAC